This is a long non-coding RNA of Oncorhynchus tshawytscha (Chinook salmon), 1243 nucleotides long. RefSeq lists it as uncharacterized. Lineage: Eukaryota; Metazoa; Chordata; Actinopteri; Salmoniformes; Salmonidae. The transcript has 5 exons. The record is from RefSeq and is a predicted model, not a curated record.
GGUCUUGUCAGUGGUGGAAGAGAUACUCUGGAGCUGCUGCAGUGUGUCUGGGGCUGCUGUGUGUUCUCCUACUGGCUGGGAUCAUAGGCCUGUUUCUCUACCAGAGGAACCAAUUGACCAGUUCCAACACCCUGACUGAAGAGAGAGACCAGCUACAGACCUGCGGAAACAACCUUACUGAAGAGAGAGACCAGCUACAGACUAGCAACAACACCCCGACCGAAGAGAGAGACCAGCUACAGACUAGCAAAAACACGCUGACCAAAGAGAGAAACCAGCUACAGACCAGAUACAACACCCUAACCAAAGAGAGAGACCAGCUACAGACCAGUUACAACACCCUGACCAAAGAGAGAGACCAGCUACAGAAAGAGACAGAACGUCUGAAACAAUCUUUAGUUGAGAAAGUGUGUCCUCGAGGAUGGAAGAAGCUUGGUAGCAGUUGUUACUACAUCUCUACUGAGAAAAAUCCUGGGAGGAGAGCAGACAGGACUGCAGAAAUAGAGGAGCACACCUGGUGGUCAUCAAGAGCCAAGAACAACAGACAUUUGUCAAUUGGUUAUGCGGGGUAAAGAACUAUGUCUGGAUUGGUCUGACUGACUCUGUUACUGAGGGGACCUGGAAAUGGGUGGACGACACACCACUGACCACAAAGUAUUGGAACAGUAAAGAGCCUAAUGGUGGUGGAGCAGAGCACUGUGUGUAUUUCUACUCCUGGUCAUCAGACACAGGAGAAUGGUGGGACUAUGACUGUUCCUAUAAAUACAGAUGGAUCUGUGAGAAAUAGGAUUCAUCCUCUGUACUCUCUGAACUGCUAAAUAGGAUUAUGCUCAGUAUAUCGUACAUAUUUUCUGCUUAUUCAAUUUACCUUGUCAACUACAUACAAUAUGUAACAAUACAAAUGUAGAAUACAUUAUAAUAAAAAAAAUAUGCAAUAACAAUACAAUGACUUGAUAAGAGAAGGACUGUUCUGUCUGUUGUUGAGGAAAUUCACCACUAAGGACUCAAAUUCAAAGGAAAUGAAUCAAUAUUUAUUAUCACAGUCACAGAGGUUCACUGACUCAAUACAAUCCUGAUGUUCAUUUUUAUUAUUAUUACUUUUUAGUUUAGUCUACUUGCUAAAUAUAUUUCUUAACUCUUCCCGAACUGCACUGUUGGUUAAGGGCUUGUAAGUCAGCAUUUCACGGUAAAGUCUACACUUGUUGUAUUCGGAGCAUGUGAGAAAUAAAGUUUGAUUUGAUUU